AUGAGGCUGAAGAGCAAAGCGAUGGGAUGCAGCCAAGGAGUCAGCUGGAAGCUGCUGCUGCUGCUACUGGGGAGCCCUGCUGGGGGCAACGGCAAACCACCCGCUUCUCCUCCUCCAGCUGUUGCGGCUGCUGCUUCCUCCUCCGCCGCCACUACCUCCUUCUCCUCCAGAUUGCAGCCGAUCUCCCCCCGGACCAACCUGACCACCAGAGCCAGCAAGAAGGACAGGGAUCCGGCGCAGAGAGCCGAGGAAAGUUUCCGGGAGCUCCAGAUUUUCUGCAGCACCAGGUCUCCCCAGCAGAGCUGGUGGUCAAUUUUACCAUUACUGGCAGCUCUCACUCUCAAGAACACAAAGCUAUGGGAUUUCAGACUCAAAAAGAUUUUUAACAGAUUUGAGCACACAUCAGGUAAUUAAAAGAUGGCUACACAUUUCAUCUGCUAACUCAUGGCCAGGCAUUCUGAACAGAUUAGUCAAUCAGCUUAAAUCCUCAUACCGUGUUGAUGCACAGGUUUUGAGACUAACACACACUCUGGUGGUUCACAAAUAGGAGCGGUACCAGAAACUUCUUUGAUGAUUGAGCCAGAAGGAGCUCUGCUAUACCUCCUUUAGCUGUUCGAAAUCAUGGUUGUAUCUGGUGAUAGCAAGACACUUUUUUGCAGACACCCCAGAUAUUAGCAUAUUAAUAGCUGUAACUAAACUGAGAGUUAAACAGACACAAAUUGGGGUUCUGUCUUGCGAAUUAUCCAUGCAUAAAACUCCCAAUGACUUCAGUGGCAAUAGCGGCACAUUCAGAAUUGGGCCUAUGAUGCUGACUAGAGCUGUGCCAACCCUGUAUAAUAAAACCCAGAACUAGGUGGCUUGAAACCCA
This 868-nucleotide long non-coding RNA is filed under the name Chrysemys picta bellii (western painted turtle). Its description in RNAcentral is "lncRNA (ENSCPBG00000008110.1)". Lineage: Eukaryota; Metazoa; Chordata; Testudines; Emydidae. The record is from RNAcentral.